GAAUUCGCCCUUAGAGUUUGAUCCUGGCUCAGGACGAACGCUGGCGGCGUGCUUAACACAUGCAAGUCGAACGAUGAUGCUUGGUGCUUGCACUGGGUGGAUUAGUGGCGAACGGGUGAGUAAUACGUGAGUAACCUGCCCCUGUCUUUGGGAUAAGCCUGGGAAACUGGGUCUAAUACUGGAUAUUCUGCUUGAACCGCAUGGUUUUUGUUGGAAAGAUUUUUUGGAUGGGGAUGGGCUCACGGCCUAUCAGCUUGUUGGUGGGGUGAUGGCCUACCAAGGCGUCGAGGGGUAGCCGGCCUGAGAGGGUGACCGGCCACAUUGGGACUGAGAUACGGCCCAGACUCCUACGGGAGGCAGCAGUGGGGAAUAUUGCACAAUGGGCGAAAGCCUGAUGCAGCAAUGCCGCGUGAGGGAAGACGGUUUUCGGAUUGUAAACCUCUGUCUUCGGUGAAGAAACAAAUGACGGUAACCGAGGAGGAAGCCACGGCUAACUACGUGCCAGCAGCCGCGGUAAUACGUAGGUGGCGAGCGUUGUCCGGAUUUACUGGGUGUAAAGGGAGCGCAGGCGGGAAAGCAAGUCGGCUGUGAAAACUAUGGGCUUAACCCAUAGAUUGCAGUUGAAACUGUUUUUCUUGAGUGGAGUAGAGGUAGGCGGAAUUCCGAGUGUAGCGGUGAAAUGCGUAGAUAUUAGGAGGAACACCAGUAGCGAACUCGGCUUUCUGGACUGUAACUGACACUGAGGCACGAAAGCGUGGGGAGCAAACAGGAUUAGAUACCCUGGUAGUCCACGCCGUAAACGAUGAGUACUAGGUGUCGGGGGUUACCCCCCUCGGUGCCGCAGCUAACGCAUUAAGUUAUCCACCUGGGGAGUACGACCGCAAGGUUGAAACUCAAAGGAAUUGACGGGGGCCCGCACAAGCGGAGGAACAUGUGGUUUAAUUCGAUGAUACGCGAGGAACCUUACCCGGGCUCGAACGGUGCAUGAAUAUACGAGAGAUUGUAUAGUCCUUCGGGACACCUGUGCAGGUGGUGCAUGGUUGUCGUCAGCUCGUGUCGUGAGAUGUUGGGUUAAGUCCCAUAACGAGCGCAACCCUUGUCGAUAGUUGCCAGCAUGUAAUGAUGGGGACUCUAUCGAGACUGCCGAUGAUAAAUCGGAGGAAGGUGGGGAGGACGUCAAAUCAUCAUGCCCUUUAUGACCUGGGCUACGAACGUGAUACAAUGGUUGGAACAAAGGGAGGCAAAGCUGUGAAGCCAAGCGAACCCCAUAAAAACAAUCUCAGUUCGGAUUGAAGUCUGCAACUCGACUUCAUGAAGUCGGAAUCGCUAGUAAUCGUAGAUCAGAACGCUACGGUGAAUACGUUCUCGAGGUUUGCACACACCGCCCGUCA
This 1391-nucleotide ribosomal RNA is filed under the name uncultured bacterium. RNAcentral's name for it is "partial 16S ribosomal RNA". It matches the Rfam family "Bacterial small subunit ribosomal RNA". The record is from RNAcentral.